Molecule: long non-coding RNA, 1747 nt
Organism: Oncorhynchus keta (chum salmon)
Lineage: Eukaryota; Metazoa; Chordata; Actinopteri; Salmoniformes; Salmonidae
Exons: 3
Source: RefSeq, a predicted model, not a curated record
GUGUGUGUGUGUGUGUUGUUUUCCCAGCUCCUGGAUGAGAGAAAGCGAUGACAGCGAGAGCAGCGGGCGGGAUAAAUUGAGCCACACAGCCACUCAUAGGUGACCUUACCUCAGCCCUGUCCAAUGAGAAGGCCCCUGAGACUGUGCUCUGCAUCAUAGGGGGAGGAGGGAAAAGCUCAGCCAGCUGCUACACAACAAGAAAGAGGGAGCUUUUAUCUCCAUGUCCUGCUGUUCAUCUAACACACACUAUUGUUAGCCUCUACAGAUGAUUUGACCUUUUCCUACAGAUUAUUAUCCCUUCAAGCACUGGCCUUUAUCAGCCUCAUCUCUCCCAUCGUUGUCCCAUUCCUCUUAUCUGUCCUCUCCUUUAUUAGCCUAGGAUCUGGUCAUAGGUUAGAUUGGAGAACUGCAGCGUGCCGCCCGGUCCGCCCAGUGAGGGGGGUCCAGGUGGUUAACCCACUGUGGGGAGCUGUUGUAAUACUGAUCCACUGAACAAAGUGAGGCUCUGGUUUGUUUCACACCAGGUUACACUAAAGGAGGGAUUCCACAGCGAGGUAGACGCAGAGGUUGACACACACACACGUUGCUGAAGAGAUCUGAUAGCCUAUGCAUGGAGACAUGAAGCACCAUGUGAACUGUAGACUACAUAACAUGUGUAAACAACUACCUCCAGAGAUCAGGUUACCUGCCUGCUAGGGCUGGGAAAUGCCAGGGACCUCACGAUACCAUAUUAUCACCAUACUUAGGUGCCGAUAGCAUAUUAUCACCAUACUUAGGUGCCGAUAGCAUAUUAUCACCAUACUUAGGUGCCGAUAGCAUAUUAUCACCAUACUUAGGUGCCGAUAGCAUAUUAUCACCAUACUUAGGUGCCGAUAGCAUAUUAUCACCAUACUUAGGUGCCGAUAGCAUAUUAUCACCAUACUUAGGUGCCGAUAGCAUAUUAUCACCAUACUUAGGUGCCGAUAGCAUAUUAUCACCAUACUUAGGUGCCGAUAGCAUAUUAUCACCAUACUUAGGUGCCGAUAGCAUAUUAUCACCAUACUUAGGUGCCGAUAGCAUAUUAUCACCAUACUUAGGUGCCGAUACCAUAUUAUCACCAUACUUAGGUGCCGAUACCAUAUUAUCACCAUACUUAGGUGCCGAUACCAUAUUAUCACCAUACUUAGGUGCCGAUACCAUAUUAUCACCAUACUUAGGUGCCGAUACCAUAUUAUCACCAUACUUAGGUGCCGAUACCAUAUUAUCACCAUACUUAGGUGCCGAUAUGUUAUGCGAUUCUCAUGAUUCUUAUAUGUAUUGCGAUUUGAUACUGUGAUUUUUAUUGCGAUUUCGAUGUUCCAAACAUGUUGCUCACCACAUGUCUGCUGCAGAGGGACGAGGGAGAGACAUGAGAACUGCUGUUGAUCAGUCGGGGAAAUAAAAGUGCUGAAGACAUGUCUUACUAUUUAAAAAGAAGAUGAGAACAAACUAUGAAACUAUGAAAGAAACACACUGGAGUUUUAGUGCAGGUACAGCCAAGUAGCGCAAAAAUAAUAUUGUCAUAUUGUCAAAACAGUACAAUAUUUUGUCAGAAGUAAUAUCCCGAUAUACAGGUGAAUGAAGGUGAAAGCUAUAAUCCCUUAUUGAUGUCACCAGUUAAAUCCACUUCAAUCAGUGUAGAUGAAGCGGAGAAGACGGGUUAAAGAAGGAUUUUUAAGCCUUGGGACAAUUGAGACACAGAUUGUGUGUGUGUGUGUGUGUGUGUGUG